RNAcentral lists this ribosomal RNA (177 nucleotides) under uncultured Alphaproteobacteria bacterium. RNAcentral describes it as "partial 16S ribosomal RNA". It matches the Rfam family "Bacterial small subunit ribosomal RNA", at positions 650 to 826 of the family's 1533-position model. Lineage: Bacteria; Pseudomonadati; Pseudomonadota; Alphaproteobacteria. The record is from RNAcentral.
GGGAGAGGAAAGCGGAAUUACKAGUGUAGAGGUGAAAUUCGUAGAUAUUCGUAAGAACACCAGUGGCGAAGGCGGCUUUCUGGMCCRAUACUGACGCURAGGCGCGAAAGCGUGGGGAGCAAACAGGAUUAGAUACCCUGGUAGUCCACGCUGUAAACGAUGAGUGCUAGAUGUUGG